This 378-nucleotide unclassified non-coding RNA is filed under the name uncultured Chlamydiales bacterium. Its description in RNAcentral is "contains 16S-23S intergenic spacer region". The record is from RNAcentral. Lineage: Bacteria; Pseudomonadati; Chlamydiota; Chlamydiia; Chlamydiales.
UCCUGGUUAACCCAGGCAGUCUCAUUAGAGUGCCCACCAUAACGUGAUGGCAACUAAUGACAAGGGUUGCGCUCGUUGCGGGACUUAACCCAACACCUCACGGCACGAGCUGACGACAGCCAUGCAGCACCUGUGUAGCAGUCCUUGCGGAAGAGUGCAUUUCUGCACUUGUCCACUACAUGUCAAGUCUAGGUAAGGUUCUUCGCGUACCAUCGAAUUAAACCACAUGCUCCACCGCUUGUGCGAGCCCCCGUCAAUUCUUUUGAGUUUCACCCUUGCGAGUGUACUUCCCAGGCGGUAUACUUAUCGCGUUAGCUACGAUACAGACCGGGUUGAGCCGAUCUACAUCAAGUAUACAUCGUUUACGGUGUAGACUAC